GUUUUUUCAAGUUUGUGUGCAAGGUGACCAAAAAUAAAUGGCCACAGGCGUGUAAACGUUUGCAAAGCAUGACGGGAGUUGUUUACGGUUCUUUGAUACGGCAGGUGGGAUGUAAAAGAGGCGCGCGAGCUUUGGGGGCCCAACGCGCUCUUUGUGUUUGUAAAUGAUCCAUCCGCAGGUUCACCUACGGAUA
This 193-nucleotide unclassified non-coding RNA is filed under the name uncultured fungus. Its description in RNAcentral is "sequence contains ITS1". Lineage: Eukaryota; Fungi. The record is from RNAcentral.